CGUAGGGUGCGAGCGUUAAUCGGAAUCAUUGGGUUUAAAGGUCCGUAGGCGGGUUUAUAAGUCAGUGGUGAAAGCCCAUCGCUCAACGAUGGAACGGCCAUUGAUACUGUAGAUCUUGAAUUAUUAGGAAGUAACUAGAAUAUGUAGUGUAGCGGUGAAAUGCUUAGAGAUUACAUGGAAUACCAAUUGCGAAGGCAGGUUACUACUAAUGGAUUGACGCUGAUGGACGAAAGCGUGGGUAGCGAACAGGAUUAGAUACCCUGGUAGUCCACGCCGUAAACGAUGGAUACUAGCUGUUCGGAGCAAUCUGAGUGGCUAAGCGAAAGUGAUAAGUAUCCCACCUGGGGAGUACGUUCGCAAGAAUG
Molecule: ribosomal RNA, 365 nt
Filed under: uncultured organism
Description: bacterial SSU rRNA
Rfam family: Bacterial small subunit ribosomal RNA
Source: RNAcentral